This 441-nucleotide ribosomal RNA is filed under the name uncultured bacterium. RNAcentral describes it as "partial 16S ribosomal RNA". It matches the Rfam family "Bacterial small subunit ribosomal RNA", at positions 338 to 795 of the family's 1533-position model. The record is from RNAcentral.
CCUACGGGGUGCAGCAGUGGGGAAUAUUGCACAAUGGGGGAAACCCUGAUGCAGCGACGCCGCGUGAGUGAAGAAGUAUUUCGGUAUGUAAAGCUCUAUUAGCAGGGAAGAAAAAAGAUGGUACCUGACUAAGAAGCACCGGCUAACUACGUGCCAGAAGCCGCGGUAAUACGUAGGGGGCAAGCGUUAUCCGGAUUUACUGGGUGUAAAGGGAGCGUAGACGGUAUGGCAAGUCUGAAGUGAAUGCUCAGGGCUUAACCCUGGGACUGCUUUGGAAACUGGAAGACUAGAGUGCUGGGGAGGUAAGUGGAAUGCCUGGUGUAGCGGUGAAAUGCGUAGAUAUUAGGAGGAACACCAGUGGCGAAGGCGGCUUACUAGACAAUAACUGACGUUGAAGCUCGAAAGCGUGGGGAGCAAACAGGAUUAGAUACCCUUGUAGUC